This 396-nucleotide ribosomal RNA is filed under the name uncultured bacterium. RNAcentral describes it as "bacterial SSU rRNA". It matches the Rfam family "Bacterial small subunit ribosomal RNA", at positions 360 to 772 of the family's 1533-position model. The record is from RNAcentral.
AAUAUUGCACAAUGGAGGAAACUCUGAUGCAGCGACGCCGCGUGCAGGAAGAAGGUUUUCGGAUUGUAAACUGCUUUAGAUAGGGAAGAAAAAAGACAGUACCGUACGAAUAAGCUCCGGCUAACCACGAGCCAGCAGCCGCGGUAAUACGUAGGGAGCAAGCGUUAUCCGGAUUUAUUGGGUGUAAAGGGUGCGUAGACGGGCUAACAAGUUAGUUGUGAAAUCCCUCGGCUUAACUGAGGAACUGCAACUAAAACUAUUAGUCUUGAGUGCGGGAGAGGAAAGUGGAAUUCCUAGUGUAGCGGUGAAAUGCGUAGAUAUUAGGAGGAACACCAGUGGCGAAGGCGACUUUCUGGACCGUAACUGACGUUGAGGCACGAAAGUGUGGGGAGCAAA